GGGUUGUGAGGUUAAGCGACUAAGCGUACACGGUGGAUGCCCUGGCAGUCAGAGGCGAUGAAGGACGUGCUAAUCUGCGAAAAGCGUCGGUAAGGUGAUAUGAACCGUUAUAACCGGCGAUGUCCGAAUGGGGAAACCCAGUGCAAUUCGUUGCACUAUCGUUAACUGAAUACAUAGGUUAACGAGGCGAACCGGGGGAACUGAAACAUCUAAGUACCCCGAGGAAAAGAAAUCAACCGAGAUUCCCCCAGUAGCGGCGAGCGAACGGGGAGCAGCCCAGAGUCUGAAUCAGCUUGUGUGUUAGUGGAACGGUCUGGAAAGUCCGACGGUACAGGGUGAUAGUCCCGUACACCAAAAUGCACAGGCUGUGAACUCGAAGAGUAGGGCGGGACACGUGGUAUCCUGUCUGAAUAUGGGGGGACCAUCCUCCAAGGCUAAAUACUCCUGACUGACCGAUAGUGAACCAGUACCGUGAGGGAAAGGCGAAAAGAACCCCGGCGAGGGGAGUGAAAAAGAACCUGAAACCGUGUACGUACAAGCAGUGGGAGCACCUUCGGGUGUGACUGCGUACCUUUUGUAUAAUGGGUCAGCGACUUAUAUUCUGUAGCAAGGUUAACCGUAUAGGGGAGCCGCAGGGAAACCGAGUCUUAACUGGGCGUUAAGUUGCAGGGUAUAGACCCGAAACCCGGUGAUCUAGCCAUGGGCAGGUUGAAGGUUGGGUAACACUAACUGGAGGACCGAACCGACUAAUGUUGAAAAAUUAGCGGAUGACUUGUGGCUGGGGGUGAAAGGCCAAUCAAACCGGGAGAUAGCUGGUUCUCCCCGAAAGCUAUUUAGGUAGCGCCUCGUGAACUCAUCUUCGGGGGUAGAGCACUGUUUCGGCUAGGGGGUCAUCCCGACUUACCAACCCGAUGCAAACUACGAAUACCGAAGAAUGUUAUCACGGGAGACACACGGCGGGUGCUAACGUCCGUCGUGAAGAGGGAAACAACCCAGACCGCCAGCUAAGGUCCCAAAGUCAUGGUUAAGUGGGAAACGAUGUGGGAAGGCACAGACAGCCAGGAUGUUGGCUUAGAAGCAGCCAUCAUUUAAAGAAAGCGUAAUAGCUCACUGGUCGAGUCGGCCUGCGCGGAAGAUGUAACGGGGCUAAACCAUGCACCGAAGCUGCGGCAGCGACACUAUGUGUUGUUGGGUAGGGGAGCGUUCUGUAAGCCUGCGAAGGUGUGCUGUGAGGCAUGCUGGAGGUAUCAGAAGUGCGAAUGCUGACAUAAGUAACGAUAAAGCGGGUGAAAAGCCCGCUCGCCGGAAGACCAAGGGUUCCUGUCCAACGUUAAUCGGGGCAGGGUGAGUCGACCCCUAAGGCGAGGCCGAAAGGCGUAGUCGAUGGGAAACAGGUUAAUAUUCCUGUACUUGGUGUUACUGCGAAGGGGGGACGGAGAAGGCUAUGUUAGCCGGGCGACGGUUGUCCCGGUUUAAGCAUGUAGGCUGAUUGUCCAGGCAAAUCCGGAUAAUCAAGGCUGAGGUGUGAUGACGAGGCACUACGGUGCUGAAGUAACAAAUGCCCUGCUUCCAGGAAAAGCCUCUAAGCAUCAGGUAACAUCAAAUCGUACCCCAAACCGACACAGGUGGUCAGGUAGAGAAUACCAAGGCGCUUGAGAGAACUCGGGUGAAGGAACUAGGCAAAAUGGUGCCGUAACUUCGGGAGAAGGCACGCUGGUGUGUAGGUGAAGUCCCUGCGGAUGGAGCUGAGACCAGUCGAAGAUACCAGCUGGCUGCAACUGUUUAUUAAAAACACAGCACUGUGCAAACACGAAAGUGGACGUAUACGGUGUGACGCCUGCCCGGUGCCGGAAGGUUAAUUGAUGGGGUUAUCCGUAAGGAGAAGCUCUUGAUCGAAGCCCCGGUAAACGGCGGCCGUAACUAUAACGGUCCUAAGGUAGCGAAAUUCCUUGUCGGGUAAGUUCCGACCUGCACGAAUGGCGUAAUGAUGGCCAGGCUGUCUCCACCCGAGACUCAGUGAAAUUGAACUCGCUGUGAAGAUGCAGUGUACCCGCGGCAAGACGGAAAGACCCCGUGAACCUUUACUAUAGCUUGACACUGAACAUUGAGCCUUGAUGUGUAGGAUAGGUGGGAGGCUUUGAAGCGUGGACGCCAGUCUGCGUGGAGCCAACCUUGAAAUACCACCCUUUAAUGUUUGAUGUUCUAACGUUGGCCCCUGACCGGGGUUGCGGACAGUGUCUGGUGGGUAGUUUGACUGGGGCGGUCUCCUCCCAAAGCGUAACGGAGGAGCACGAAGGUUAGCUAAUCCUGGUCGGACAUCAGGAGGUUAGUGCAAUGGCAUAAGCUAGCUUGACUGCGAGCGUGACGGCGCGAGCAGGUGCGAAAGCAGGUCAUAGUGAUCCGGUGGUUCUGAAUGGAAGGGCCAUCGCUCAACGGAUAAAAGGUACUCCGGGGAUAACAGGCUGAUACCGCCCAAGAGUUCAUAUCGACGGCGGUGUUUGGCACCUCGAUGUCGGCUCAUCACAUCCUGGGGCUGAAGUAGGUCCCAAGGGUAUGGCUGUUCGCCAUUUAAAGUGGUACGCGAGCUGGGUUUAGAACGUCGUGAGACAGUUCGGUCCCUAUCUGCCGUGGGCGCUGGAGAAUUGAGGGGGGCUGCUCCUAGUACGAGAGGACCGGAGUGGACGCAUCACUGGUGUUCGGGUUGUCAUGCCAAUGGCACUGCCCGGUAGCUAAAUGCGGAAGAGAUAAGUGCUGAAAGCAUCUAAGCACGAAACUUGCCCCGAGAUGAGUUCUCCCUGAGACUAUAAGUCUCCUGAAGGAACGUUAAAGACGAUGACGUUGAUAGGCCGGGUGUGUAAGCGCAGCGAUGCGUUGAGCUAACCGGUACUAAUGAACCGUGAGGCUUAACCUUACAACGCCGAAG
RNAcentral lists this ribosomal RNA (2923 nucleotides) under Klebsiella pneumoniae. Its description in RNAcentral is "bacterial LSU rRNA". It matches the Rfam family "Bacterial large subunit ribosomal RNA". Lineage: Bacteria; Pseudomonadati; Pseudomonadota; Gammaproteobacteria; Enterobacterales; Enterobacteriaceae. The record is from RNAcentral. RNAcentral also lists the same sequence under 1 other name.